This 253-nucleotide ribosomal RNA is filed under the name uncultured bacterium. RNAcentral's name for it is "partial 16S ribosomal RNA". It matches the Rfam family "Bacterial small subunit ribosomal RNA", at positions 524 to 776 of the family's 1533-position model. The record is from RNAcentral.
UACGUGGGGGGCAAGCGUUGUCCGGAUUUAUUGGGCGUAAAGAGCGUGUAGGCGGCCUGGUAGGUCAGCUGUGAAAACUCGAGGCUCAACCUCGAGACGUCGGUUGAAACCACCUGGCUAGAGUCCGGAAGAGGAGAGUGGAAUUCCUGGUGUAGCGGUGAAAUGCGCAGAUAUCAGGAAGAACACCCGUGGCGAAGGCGGCUCUCUGGGACGGUACUGACGCUGAGACGCGAAAGCGUGGGGAGCGAACAGG